AACGUAGGGGGCAAGCGUUAUCCGGAAUUACUGGGUGUAAAGGGUGAGUAGGCGGCCCUGCGAGUCAUAUGUGAAAUGCACAGGCUUAACCUGUGAACUGCAUAAGGAACUGCAGAGCUAGAGUACAGGAGAGGUAAGCGGAAUUCCCAGUGUAGCGGUGAAAUGCGUAGAUAUUAGGAAGAACACCAGUGGCGAAGGCGGCUUACUGGACUGAAACUGACGCUGAGUCACGAAAGCGUGGGGAGCGAACAGG
RNAcentral lists this ribosomal RNA (253 nucleotides) under uncultured bacterium. RNAcentral describes it as "partial 16S ribosomal RNA". It matches the Rfam family "Bacterial small subunit ribosomal RNA", at positions 524 to 776 of the family's 1533-position model. The record is from RNAcentral.